UACGAGGGGGGCGAGCGUUGUUCGGAAUUAUUGGGCGUAAAGGGUGCGUAGGCGGUUUGGUAAGUCUGAUGUGAAAUCUAUGGGCUCAACUCAUAGUCUGCAUCGGAAACUGCCGGGCUUGAGUGUGGGAGAGGAGACUGGAAUUCAUGGUGUAGCAGUGAAAUGCGUAGAGAUCAUGAGGAAGACCAGUGGCGAAGGCGGGUCUCUGGACAGUUCCUGACACUGAGGCACGAAGGCCAGGGGAGCAAACGGG
RNAcentral lists this ribosomal RNA (253 nucleotides) under uncultured bacterium. RNAcentral's name for it is "partial 16S ribosomal RNA". It matches the Rfam family "Bacterial small subunit ribosomal RNA", at positions 524 to 776 of the family's 1533-position model. The record is from RNAcentral.